This 508-nucleotide ribosomal RNA is filed under the name uncultured bacterium. RNAcentral describes it as "bacterial SSU rRNA". It matches the Rfam family "Bacterial small subunit ribosomal RNA", at positions 372 to 883 of the family's 1533-position model. The record is from RNAcentral.
UGGCCGAAAGGCUGAAGCAGCAACGCCGCGUGAAGGAUGAAGGCCUUUUGGUUGUAAACUUCUGUAGAGAGAGAGAAAACCCCCGCUCUGCGGGGAUUGAUAGUAUCUCUAGAGUAAGCCCCGGCUAACUACGUGCCAGCAGCCGCGGUAAUACGUAGGGGGCGAGCGUUGUCCGGAUUUACUGGGUGUAAAGGGUGCUCAGGUGGUUUUGUAAGUCAGAGGUGAAAUUUCGGGGCUCAACCCCGGACCUGCCUUUGAUACUGCAAGGCUUGUGUACGGAAGAGGCUGAUGGAAUUUCUGGUGUAGCAGUGAAAUGCGUAGAUAUCAGAAAGAACACCAGUGGCGAAGGCGGUCAGCUGGUCCGGUACAGACACUAAAGCACGAAAGCAUGGGGAGCAAACAGGAUUAGAUACCCUGGUAGUCCAUGCCCUAAACGAUGAAUACUAGACGUUGGGUGUAAAAACUCAGUGUCGGAGCUAACGCAUUAAGUAUUCCACCUGGGGAGUAC